RNAcentral lists this ribosomal RNA (495 nucleotides) under Triticum aestivum (bread wheat). RNAcentral describes it as "partial small subunit ribosomal RNA". Lineage: Eukaryota; Viridiplantae; Streptophyta; Magnoliopsida; Poales; Poaceae. The record is from RNAcentral.
CUUCUCCCUUUCAUCUCACUCGUGUCUCAUUCGAUGCCGAAGAUUAACCCUUGUGCGAUCACGGCACUCGUUGACCGAUGGUGCCCUGAGACACAUACUUUUCACUUCUAUGCUGGGGAGAUGACGAUCACUUUGCAGGAUGUGUCUCUAAUCACUGGACUUCCCAUCAAAGGACAACCUAAUUAUUUUAGCACAGAUUCUGGAAGAUGGCGUGAGAUUAUGGUUGGACUCAUAGGGAGGGAGCCAGGGGUACAAGGGAAGUCCACCGGUGCAAGUUAUCAUUGGAUUGCUGAACACUUUGGGGAAUGUCCAGCUGAUGCGGACGAUGAAACAGUGCAGCAGUAUAUGAAGGCAUACUUGUGGUAUGUAGUCAGCCGGACUCUUUUCUCUGAUGGCACUGGCGUCAACGCUUCCUUUAUGUGGCUUAAGUUGUUUGCUGGUUGGGAGCAUGGACUCAGUUGGGGUACGGUGGCGUUGGCUUAUUUGUAUCAUUAG